This 489-nucleotide ribosomal RNA is filed under the name uncultured bacterium. Its description in RNAcentral is "bacterial SSU rRNA". It matches the Rfam family "Bacterial small subunit ribosomal RNA", at positions 30 to 504 of the family's 1533-position model. The record is from RNAcentral.
CGAACGUUAGCGGCGGGCCUAACACAUGCAAGUCGAACGAGAAAAUCCCUUCGGGGGUGAGUACAGUGGCGCACGGGUGAGGAACGCGUAGGUAAUCUACCCUUUGGCGGGGGACAACAUUCCGAAAGGAAUGCUAAUACCGCGUAAGACCACGUUCACUACGGUGAGAGUGGUAAAAGGUGCCUCAAAGCACCACCAAAGGAUGAGCCUGCGUCCCAUCAGCUUGUUGGUAAGGUAAUGGCUUACCAAGGCUAAGACGGGUAGCUGGUCUGAGAGGAUGAUCAGCCACACUGGCACUGGAACACGGGCCAGACUCCUACGGGAGGCAGCAGUGAGGAAUAUUGGGCAAUGGGCGAAAGCCUGACCCAGCCACGCCGCGUGUGUGAUGAAGGCCUUCGGGUCGUAAAGCACUGUGGGGAGAGACGAAACAGCGCAUCAGGAAAUGGGUGCGCCUUGACGGUACCUCCUUAGCAAGCACCGGCUAACUCU